This 28-nucleotide non-coding RNA is filed under the name Rattus norvegicus (Norway rat). The record is from RNAcentral. Lineage: Eukaryota; Metazoa; Chordata; Mammalia; Rodentia; Muridae.
UNCCUGUCACUAUUGUGCUUUCAGGCCA